GACGGGUGAGUAACACGUGGGUACCCUGCCUGUAAGACUGGGAUAACUCCGGGAAACCGGAGCUAAUACCGGAUAGUUCCUUGAACCGCAUGGUUCAAAGGAUGAAAGACGGUUUCGGCUGUCACUUACAGAUGGACCCGCGGCGCAUUAGCUAGUUGGUGGGGUAAUGGCUCACCAAGGCGACGAUGCGUAGCCGACCUGAGAGGGUGAUCGGCCACACUGGGACUGAGACACGGCCCAGACUCCUACGGGAGGCAGCAGUAGGGAAUCUUCCGCAAUGGACGAAAGUCUGACGGAGCAACGCCGCGUGAGUGAUGAAGGUUUUCGGAUCGUAAAGCUCUGUUGUUAGGGAAGAACAAGUGCGAGAGUAACUGCUCGCACCUUGACGGUACCUAACCAGAAAGCCACGGCUAACUACGUGCCAGCAGCCGCGGUAAUACGUAGGUGGCAAGCGUUGUCCGGAAUUAUUGGGCGUAAAGGGCUCGCAGGCGGUUUCUUAAGUCUGAUGUGAAAGCCCCCGGCUCAACCGGGGAGGGUCAUUGGAAACUGGGAAACUUGAGUGCAGAAGAGGAGAGUGGAAUUCCACGUGUAGCGGUGAAAUGCGUAGAGAUGUGGAGGAACACCAGUGGCGAAGGCGACUCUCUGGUCUGUAACUGACGCUGAGGAGCGAAAGCGUGGGGAGCGAACAGGAUUAGAUACCCUGGUAGUCCACGCCGUAAACGAUGAGUGCUAAGUGUUAGGGGGUUUCCGCCCCUUAGUGCUGCAGCUAACGCAUUAAGCACUCCGCCUGGGGAGUACGGUCGCAAGACUGAAACUCAAAGGAAUUGACGGGGGCCCGCACAAGCGGUGGAGCAUGUGGUUUAAUUCGAAGCAACGCGAAGAACCUUACCAGGUCUUGACAUCCUCUGACAACCCUAGAGAUAGGGCUUUCCCUUCGGGGACAGAGUGACAGGUGGUGCAUGGUUGUCGUCAGCUCGUGUCGUGAGAUGUUGGGUUAAGUCCCGCAACGAGCGCAACCCUUGAUCUUAGUUGCCAGCAUUCAGUUGGGCACUCUAAGGUGACUGCCGGUGACAAACCGGAGGAAGGUGGGGAUGACGUCAAAUCAUCAUGCCCCUUAUGACCUGGGCUACACACGUGCUACAAUGGACAGAACAAAGGGCUGCAAGACCGCAAGGUUUAGCCAAUCUCAUAAAUCUGUUCUCAGUUCGGAUCGCAGUCUGCAACUCGACUGCGUGAAGCUGGAAUCCGCUAGUAAU
RNAcentral lists this ribosomal RNA (1256 nucleotides) under Bacillus sp. BAB-4157. RNAcentral describes it as "bacterial SSU rRNA". It matches the Rfam family "Bacterial small subunit ribosomal RNA", at positions 100 to 1342 of the family's 1533-position model. Lineage: Bacteria; Bacillati; Bacillota; Bacilli; Caryophanales; Bacillaceae. The record is from RNAcentral.